CUGCUUCCCCCCGGGGGGCGAGCCCGCGUGCUCCGUCCCGAGGGGAGCGGAGUUUAGGUGGCGCGGCCGGGAGGCGCCGCGGAGCCCCCAGUUAGGGCUCCAGCCGUUAAACGUCUCUCCCGGGGCUCCCGCCGGCGGCGGCUGGGCCCAGCCGGCGUGCAGCGCGGGGUGGGCGGGGUGGGCGGGGUGGAGGGGUGCAGGCUGGCGCUGGGCCCGGCCUCCGCCGGUGGGAGCCCCGGCUUCGGUGUGCGAGCACCACACGAGGCCAUCCGCGCAAACUGAGUUGUAUUGCUCUUUUUUUUCCCCCCUACCCAGAAAAUGAAACACAGCCGCCAGCGGCUGGACGAAAGCACCUGAUAACUCCUUUCUCCUCUGAGGAGAGUUUCAACCGACUUCAGCUUGAGUGAUCCAGGGAGAAGUACCUCAGUUCUUUGCCCUCACAGGAUAGCCAAACUGCUAGCUUCCGCCUGGACAGUUCUAGAAGACGCCAGGCCAACGGUUCUGUCCUAAACCCUCUCCUGGCUGCCUUCGUCCUAUGUUCUCUGAGACCUCGAACCAAAGACAGCCCGCGUCGGCCCUGGUCACAGCUGAGCUGGCCUGCCGGAUGUAAUGUGACCGGUCUGUCUGGCCAGACCGAGUGGCUCGUCAUGUCAUCUGGCGUCGGUUACUCAGAAGACAAAAGGGAUUUUCAAGAUGGCUGAGAGAAUGUACCUUUGGCUUCUUCACCACUGACAGUGCUCUGAACUGACAAAGGGCCCCCAGUGAAGCCAGGCAUCACCCAGCUCCCUGACUGUAGGAGCAGCUUCCCCGAGUGGCCCUGGUGGAGACUGGGGAGGAACGGGGCUGGAAGAGUACCCAGUGCAGAGCCAGAGGUCAGCGCGCCCUGUCUCAUAACAAAACAAAACAAGCCGAGAUCCCCACAGGGCUCUUUUGGGGAAGCGGCGUCAUCACGCCUCAGGAUGUGUGAGCUCAGGAACAUUUUCCUUGGAAUAAACUGUGUCCUCUGGGCCUUCCUAAUGAGCCCUUUUUUGUGGAAACAGCACAAUGGUUGGAACCGACUGCCCGUUUUCCCUCGGCUGUGUUGUGCAGAACAGAGGAAUGUCUUGUUGACUUUGUUUUCAUUGAGGGACACUCUUUGUCCUCCGAGGGAUACAUAAGAGUUCCUAUCUUAGAACAUGUGAAGCCCUGAAAGGUGGCUUUUCCACGGAAGCCGUUAGGCUGAAUCACUGAGCUCCACGCUGUAGAGGAAACAGACCUGGCUGGCUGCCAGGUCUGAGCGGCAGCCAGUGCCCGUAUUUGGGAUUGCGAUGGAGCUGUUUCUGAAGGCCGAGGCCCUCCACGCCCUUUUGAGAGCGUUGAUGCUUUGGUGAUGGCUGUUAGAGACAACUUGUGGUGGACACUUGCCUGGGGUGAUAUGACAGCAGGCUGUGGAUGGAGUUGCCCCCCCUUGGCAGACCCAUUGCCAUGCGUAAAGAAAGCCUGGUGCAUCUUGGAAAUUUAAUUCUCCAAAUGGCCCCAAACUGGAAGCAACCAAAGAUAAUCAAUUAAAGAAAUUUGGAUACAGUUGUAUAGUGGAAAGACGAUUAAGCUAUUUUGUUGAGUAAGGGGUGGGAAGCAGGCUUCAAUACACUAUAUGAGUCUAUUUAUGGAAUAACAGAAUGUGCUGGUUAGUUUUCUGUCAACUUGACACAGCAUGAGUCAUUUGGGAAGAGAGAACCUUAGUUAAAAAGAUACCUUCUUCUUUUGAUUAGUGACUGACACGGAGGGCCCAGGCCACUGUGGGCUGUUACACCCUUGAGCAGGUCCUGGCAGCUGAGUGAGCCAUGGGGAGCAAGGCACUGAGCCACAUUCCUCCAUGGCCUCUGCCCCAGUCCCUGCCUUGGCUUCCCCCGGUGAUGGACUGUGGCUGCGACACGUAAGCCAAACAAACCUUUUCUUCCCGAGCUGCUUCUGGUCAUGGUCCUCAUCCCAGGGAUAAACACCUGACUAGGACACAGAAUCAGAUUGCUUCGACCCAGUGCUAGCCCUGCAUGCACAAAGCCCUGGGUUCCAUCCCCAUCACCAUGGAAAUAACACACAGUGCCACAGGCCUGACAUCCCAGCACUUGGGAGGUGGAGGCAGGAGGUUCCAGUGUUCAAGGUCAUCCUCAGCUACCC
This 2157-nucleotide long non-coding RNA is filed under the name Meriones unguiculatus (Mongolian gerbil). RNAcentral's name for it is "lncRNA (ENSMUGG00000011257.1)". The record is from RNAcentral. Lineage: Eukaryota; Metazoa; Chordata; Mammalia; Rodentia; Muridae.